ACGAUGGCUAAUACCGCAUGAUGCCUACGGGCCAAAGAGGGGGACCUUCGGGCCUCUCGCGUCAGGAUAUGCCUAGGUGGGAUUAGCUAGUUGGUGAGGUAAUGGCUCACCAAGGCGACGAUCCCUAGCUGGUCUGAGAGGAUGAUCAGCCACACUGGAACUGAGACACGGUCCAGACUCCUACGGGAGGCAGCAGUGGGGAAUAUUGCACAAUGGGCGCAAGCCUGAUGCAGCCAUGCCGCGUGUGUGAAGAAGGCCUUCGGGUUGUAAAGCACUUUCAGUCGUGAGGAAGGUGGUGUAGUUAAUAGCUGCAUUACUUGACGUUAGCGACAGAAGAAGCACCGGCUAACUCCGUGCCAGCAGCCGCGGUAAUACGGAGGGUGCGAGCGUUAAUCGGAAUUACUGGGCGUAAAGCG
This 416-nucleotide ribosomal RNA is filed under the name Vibrio sp. CR-III-E20. Its description in RNAcentral is "bacterial SSU rRNA". It matches the Rfam family "Bacterial small subunit ribosomal RNA", at positions 156 to 567 of the family's 1533-position model. Lineage: Bacteria; Pseudomonadati; Pseudomonadota; Gammaproteobacteria; Vibrionales; Vibrionaceae. The record is from RNAcentral.